RNAcentral lists this ribosomal RNA (491 nucleotides) under uncultured bacterium. RNAcentral describes it as "partial 16S ribosomal RNA". It matches the Rfam family "Bacterial small subunit ribosomal RNA", at positions 29 to 507 of the family's 1533-position model. The record is from RNAcentral.
AGUGAACGCUGGCGGUAGGCCUAACACAUGCAAGUCGAACGGCAGCACAGUAAGAGCUUGCUCUUACGGGUGGCGAGUGGCGGACGGGUGAGGAAUACAUCGGAAUCUACUUUUUCGUGGGGGAUAACGUAGGGAAACUUACGCUAAUACCGCAUACGACCUACGGGUGAAAGCAGGGGAUCUUCGGACCUUGCGCGAUUGAAUGAGCCGAUGUCGGAUUAGCUAGUUGGCGGGGUAAAGGCCCACCAAGGCGACGAUCCGUAGCUGUCUGAGAGGAUGAUCAGCCACACUGGAACUGAGACACGGUCCAGACUCCUACGGGAGGCAGCAGUGGGGAAUAUUGGACAAAGGGCGCAAGCCUGAUCCAGCCAUACCGCGUGGGUGAAGAAGGCCUUCGGGUUGUAAAGCCCUUUUGUUGGGAAAGAAAAGCAGCAGGUUAAUACCCCGCUGUUCUGACGGUACCCAAAGAAUAAGCACCGGCUAACUUCGUG